Microcebus murinus (gray mouse lemur) is the source of this 1560-nucleotide non-coding RNA. The record is from RefSeq and is a predicted model, not a curated record. NCBI's taxonomy places the organism in Eukaryota, Metazoa, Chordata, Mammalia, Primates, Cheirogaleidae.
UUAAUCCUGUGAACGAUUGUCUAAAAAGGAAUUUGGAGAAAGACUAUUCCGGUGAACAGCUUACAAACCACAGGACAAACCAUCUUCAGUGUAAAAUAAGGUGUGGUUCCAGAGAACAAAGGGAAAGCUCCAGUUAUAUAGGAAAAGUUCCCGCCCAAGGUUCCCAGUCAAGUUUGUUUAUAUAAAUGAAGGAAGGUUGAAACUUUCUUAGUUCUGAGUGAUUGAUGCAGCUGAAUUCUGAUUGGCUGAUACAGCUGAGCCCUGAUUGGUUGAGGAACAUGAGCUCUGAUUAGUUGGUUCAGGUGAGUCCUGAAAGUCCCAGAGGUAAAAAGGUGCAGGCUGAGAAACGGAGAGGGUGUGUGACCCCUAGUCAGCAAGUGGCUACUUAGCUGUGUUUUCAAUAUGAAGAAAAUAGUGUGAAUAAUCAACCUAAGUGAUUACUAAUGUUACUGGUGCAGUAUCAUAUAACAAAUGUGUUGCAGACUCUGUGGUCAUCAUAUGCUUUACCACUAAAGGUUAUGUCUGGAAAUACUAAACAAAAACUUUGAAGUUAAAAUUGAGUGUCCUGAGAAGAGUAAUAGCCGGCAUAGUUGUUUGAAUUCUUAAGGAGUCAAGACGACCAUGAAAAGGAAUUUGAAUUUUAUCCAUAAUUGAAAAGUUCAGUCAUUUACCUGAUUGAUAAGUAGCCUACCUCAUAAAAUGUGAACACAUUCAUAAAAAGCCCAAAAACUGGGGCGAGGGGAAGGGAAUUUGGAUAUGAUUGUCAUGCCAGCUAUCAAUGUAAUGCCUUUCAGUUCUAAAUUCACCCUUUUUUGCCUGCUCUGAAAAUGCAUUUGGAUCCUAUAAAUAUUUUUUCCUUUGCCAGCUGGUAUAAAGUUAAGCUCUAUCAGUAGAAAGAACUGAAGAGACAUUGCAAGAGGAAAGGAUUCUGCUUCCUGGUUCCUGUGUGCUUACUCAACAGACUCCUACAGCACAUGUGGCUUGCAUGUGUGGCUUCUCCAGUGUCCAGUUACUGCCGCCCACUCAGCUUCCCCAGUGUCCAGCUCCUACAGUAGUGCACAGCUGCUAGCAACACCAACCACCCAGCAACUCAAUCCCACCUGGCUCCACUCCCUCCAGACACCCUCACCAUCUGCAUGCCCCUCUGGGCAGUUUUGUGGUGGAGUACCCACAGUGAAAUACCUCUGUGACCCACUUCCCAGAACCCUAGAGGGCAUAUUUCCAGCAAGUUCCCCGAAGACAGAUUUCUAGCAAGUUCCAGAUAGUGGAUGUCUAGCAAGUUCCAAAAGGUGAAUUUCUAGCAAGUUUCAUCAGCUCAGCAACACAAGGACUUCUCUGUGAGACUUCAUUUAUUCAAUGACCCACAGCCAUGCCCUCUCCAAGUCCUGGAUCUCAGCUCUAGGAGGUGGUCUUCCAGAGGCACUCUAUCUCAGCCCUGGGGGUAGUGUCUCUCCUUACAUCUGCCGUUCUUAUAUUGUUUAGAGUUCACUUCACUUCUUUUAGCCUUGUUACUCUAAUCCCCUGUUACAGUUAAUAAUUAUUUACAUUAAACUUUCCUUG